CUCUAGCAUCGCCGCCACCACUACCCACUACCUAUCUCCAUCAAAAUCACUCCGAACACACAAUUCCACCUUCAACUAUCCCCAGAACAACAUCUAGGGCCCAAGAUCUACAAGAAAGGCUUUCUAAAUGUGAAUCACGAAUUCGACCGUCGUCGAUGGGACCCACUUGGACGGACCUAUACCCAUGGCAUCGCCACCCUAUCCUGCUACUAUUCCAUCUAUGAGUUUUCAUCGGUCGGAUCAAAAUCAGCGCUCAAAUUCCAGAUUGAGAAUUUUCUAAAAUUCCUGCUAUUUCCUUUCAACUUGCUCCAGGAGAUGUUUUACGUGUGCUUACGAAAUCAAAAGGGUAAUACUGAGGUGCUCGCAUCAACUUCUAUUUUGAUUAAGGUGGAAAAAUUGUUUGAUUUCUUUUUCACGCUUGGGGCCUGUUGUUAAUUUGUGCAUUGGAGUGAUUCCAAUAAUACUAUAGAAAAAUACAAGUCAAUACCCAAAAUCACAAGAAAUGUUGUGAAUAUGUUGUUACAGAAGUACUCUUCUUUCUUAUUUGUGGUUUUUCUGCUUGAGAGAAACUGUAAAAUCGCCAUUUCUUUUUAAUGCUUUUGAUUCUCUUUUAGUUCUA
RNAcentral lists this long non-coding RNA (619 nucleotides) under Olea europaea (common olive). RNAcentral describes it as "long non-coding RNA (OEUR_LNC002533)". Lineage: Eukaryota; Viridiplantae; Streptophyta; Magnoliopsida; Lamiales; Oleaceae. The record is from RNAcentral.